This is a long non-coding RNA of Apodemus sylvaticus (European woodmouse), 800 nucleotides long. RefSeq lists it as uncharacterized. The record is from RefSeq and is a predicted model, not a curated record. The transcript has 3 exons. Lineage: Eukaryota; Metazoa; Chordata; Mammalia; Rodentia; Muridae.
UGGGGUUUUCAGAAUGAUUCAUCUCACUGCUUGUAGAAAUGCAGUGCAGACUCUGCAGGCUCAGGUGAGGCAGGGCCCAGGCACCCAAAACUGCCACCCUGCCCCUCCCUGCUUUACUAGAUCAUUUCCUACAUCGCUUUGCCUCUGCCAUCAAAGGCAAAGCCACCCACUCACAGGGCACAGGCCGGCACUGCCAUAGUGUUUGCUUUGUGCCUGAUAAUCUUCUGAAAAUAGCAAGUCCAGACCAAAUGUCUACAAGAUCACCCGGCAGGAGCGCCGGAGGGCCUCGGCCAGUUGUGCACAAUGUGGAGAAUCUGGGCCCGCUCACAGCACUUCAGGACGGGAUUUAUUUAUUUCUAUUUACACUGGAGUUCUGCCUGCAUGUCUGUGUCAGAUCACCUGGAACUGGAAUUACAGACAAUUGUAAGCUGCCAUAUAGGUGCUGGGAAUUGAACCCAGGUUUCCUGUGAGAGCAGCCAGAGCUCUGAACUGCCGAGUCAUCUCUCCAGUGCCCUGUUUUGACAGAGUCACUUUCCAGCCCAGAGAGGAUCCUGACUCUGGGCCUUCCACAAGCAAGGUUCUUAGCAUACACUUGUGGCUUCCGGUUCAGCCUGUUAUGGGAUUUCUGAAUGUGCACGAGUAGGGCUCUGCUUCCUGUGCCUUCUCUUAGGCUCUUCUCCUGGGCUUUGUCCAACUCCAGGUGCUGGUCUGCUUUACCUGAUUACAUCUUAUUUUACUACCCUCUUAAAAAUAAACAGGAAAUGUCAAUUCAUAUUUUCUUUUCUGAGCAAUUUAUUUGA